GACGAACCGUGCGAACGUUGUUCGGAAUCACUGGGCUUAAAGGGCGCGUAGGCGGCAAUUCAAGUCCGGGGUGAAAGCCCCCAGCUCAACUGGGGAAGUGCCUUGGAAACUGGAGUGCUCGAGGGAGGUAGGGGUCGAGGGAACUUCUGGUGGAGCGGUGAAAUGCGUUGAUAUCGGAAGGAACGCCGGUGGCGAAAGCGAUCGACUGGACCUUUUCUGACGCUGAGGCGCGAAAGCCAGGGGAGCAAACGGG
RNAcentral lists this ribosomal RNA (253 nucleotides) under uncultured bacterium. Its description in RNAcentral is "partial 16S ribosomal RNA". It matches the Rfam family "Bacterial small subunit ribosomal RNA", at positions 524 to 776 of the family's 1533-position model. The record is from RNAcentral.